RNAcentral lists this small nucleolar RNA (136 nucleotides) under Ornithorhynchus anatinus (platypus). Lineage: Eukaryota; Metazoa; Chordata; Mammalia; Monotremata; Ornithorhynchidae. The record is from RNAcentral.
CCCCUCUCAGGAUCGCACCUAGAGUUUCCAGUACUCUACCAGUCUUGGCUAAGGGAGGGAGAAUCAAGCAGAGUCAUACCCAUUCCAUUCCUAGCUUGGGUAGUGGCUAGCGAGUGGAAGGCCAUCUGCUACAAGU